UGGUGAGAAAGUUGAGAGUAUUUUUGAAUAUAUUUAUUUGUGUCAUAUUAAAAUAAAAAAUCUUAAUAAAAUAAUUAUACUUUUCUCAUUGUUUUAAUUAUGCCAGUUUCGUUUGUUGUUUUUUGUCAACAAUGGCCAUGUGUUGACAGCUUGGGUGUCCAUUGAACCUUGUUGUUUUGAUUAAAAUUAGUAUGGUAUUGAUUGCUUCUUUAUUGUUUGAAUUGGCAUUAUGGAUUUUAAUUAAUCUUAAAAAUGUAUGCAUGAAAGGUCACCCAAGCCAUAAAACUGCCAUUGUUUACCUUGAUUAUGACCUACUUACCUGUACCCACGUGUGAAAACUGUUCACCGAUAAGUCAGAAAAAAAUUAAUUAAAUCAAUCUUAAGAAUUUUAUUGUUGUCUAUAAAAUAAAAGUUGAAGUUCUGAAAGUAACAAACAUUUUUCAAUUUUAAUUUGAAUAAAUACCACAUACAAAAC
Molecule: long non-coding RNA, 475 nt
Filed under: Mytilus galloprovincialis (Mediterranean mussel)
Lineage: Eukaryota; Metazoa; Mollusca; Bivalvia; Mytilida; Mytilidae
Source: RNAcentral